Molecule: long non-coding RNA, 125 nt
Organism: Sitophilus oryzae (rice weevil)
Lineage: Eukaryota; Metazoa; Arthropoda; Insecta; Coleoptera; Curculionidae
Exons: 3
Source: RefSeq, a predicted model, not a curated record
CGCCAUGGUCAGUAAAAUUGGACCAAUGAGAGCAGUUUCGCAAAAUCGCGAUUCGCGAUUCGCCAAAAAAUAUUCGCAAAAUUUGGACCUAUUUCAUACAGUCGCGAAUUUUUAAGGACAUUUCA